AUUGAACGCUGGCGGCAUGCUUUACACAUGCAAGUCGAACGGUAACAGGCCUUCGGGUGCUGACGAGUGGCGAACGGGUGAGUAAUGCAUCGGAACGUACCCAGAGGUGGGGGAUAACGCAGCGAAAGCUGUGCUAAUACCGCAUGUGAUCUGAGGAUGAAAGCGGGGGACCGAGCAGCAAUGUUUGGCCUCGCGCCUUUGGAGCGGCCGAUGUCGGAUUAGCUAGUUGGUGGGGUAAAGGCCUACCAAGGCGACGAUCCGUAGCUGGUCUGAGAGGACGACCAGCAAAACGGGGAAGGGAAAAGGGCCCAAACCCCUAGGGGAGGAAGGAGGGGGGAAUUUGGGAAAAUGGGCGAAAGCCUGAUCCAGCAAGGCCGGGGGGGGGAAGAAGGCCUUGGGGUUGUAAACCGCUUUUGGAAGGAACGAAACGGGGUCCGAUAAUACCGGGCGUUAAUGACGGUACCUGCAAAAUAAGCAACGGCUAACUACGU
Molecule: ribosomal RNA, 491 nt
Filed under: uncultured bacterium
Lineage: Bacteria
Description: partial 16S ribosomal RNA
Rfam family: Bacterial small subunit ribosomal RNA
Source: RNAcentral